RNAcentral lists this long non-coding RNA (1293 nucleotides) under Monodelphis domestica (gray short-tailed opossum). Its description in RNAcentral is "lncRNA (ENSMODG00000040808.1)". Lineage: Eukaryota; Metazoa; Chordata; Mammalia; Didelphimorphia; Didelphidae. The record is from RNAcentral.
AAAAAAUAAAAAUUUUAAAAAUUUAAAAUUAAAAAAAUGAAAUGAAAAGUUUAUUCCAUCCAGAUUCUUGUUGCUGUUGUUACAAGGGAAUCACUUUAAAAGACUGAUAUAUAUUAAUUUAAGGUCGCCAAGGAAUCAGCUAUGUAAUUCCUAAAUGAAAAACUCAAGUCAGCCGUCAGCCUUUUUUGGAGUUUAAUUACAAUAGGAGCAAGAAAGGAAUUAGAGAUAUAUAUAGAGAGAGAAAGGGGAGAGAAGGGAAUAGGGCUUAAAUACCCCUUCUGUUUAGGCUGGGCCAAAAGGCCCAAGCCCUUAGAUAGCUGGGGCAAAGAAAAGAGAUCAGUCCCUAUUACUCACGUGUCCAAAAUGGAGAAACAGUCUCAGAGGCCCCCACCUUCAGCUUCCUUCAGAGCAAGCUUCCUCAGAGCCCAGGAACAACACCGACCCAAAAAAAAACUCAAUCCUCUCCCCCGAGUCUCCAGACCCUCCUAUCUUUAAGGACACCAUCCAAGUUGCCUCCCCUCAGUCCUCACAUCUACCAAUCACUCUUCAUCAAUUUCCCUGUCAAUGGAGGCUCUCGCUUAACCCAGGACCGCCCAGAGGUUUCUGGCUUUUGCACAUGUCUGUUGAAGGUCAUAUUUUUCAAAUGAUUAAAUCUUUACUCCUUUGUUCCAGCCCUUUCUAAAUCCUGUUAACUUGAGUAUGGUAGAGAUUGGAAUAAUUAAAUUUUGAUCUAGGCUGCAGCCCUUACUCAAUCCUAUUAGGACUGAAUAGGGUGGAGUAUAUCCAUUGUAUCAAUUCUAAAAUCAAUCAAGACUCAAAGAAAUUCCUGUUCUAUGCUCAAGCAUAGGUCAAAGUCCUUUCCAUUGUUUAGCAAAAGGUUUUCUGUCCUAAAGUAAUCUUAAGAAGGGAAGAGAAGGAACCUCCCAUGCCAAUGGAGUUCCCAUUCCAAUAGACUAUCAGUAAGAAAUUUUCCAAGUAUGAAAUAUCCCAAUGGUGAAAUUUCCAACAUUUAUAAGUCUAAGGAAAUUUGAGGUUUACAAUCCCCCCUGAUGAUCAUUGGGAGACUAGUCUCCCCAUUGAUCAUUUAACAUAAUCAUUUUGUAGUUCUAAAUUCACUUCUAACUAAAGAUAUACACAAUAUUCAAUUUUCUAAGAGAAAUUAGAAUAGUGAGAGAGGAAAUAGAAAAGAAAAGAAAGCAAAACCAAUGUUUGCUAGGCGCAUUGACAGAAAGCCAAAUUAGGGGCAGUCCCAUUUGGCAUAAAUGUUACAAUAAAUGUUCAAUCAAAAGUUCA